This 23-nucleotide microRNA is filed under the name Eptatretus burgeri (inshore hagfish). RNAcentral's name for it is "Ebu-Mir-338-P3_3p (mature (guide))". The record is from RNAcentral. Lineage: Eukaryota; Metazoa; Chordata; Myxini; Myxiniformes; Myxinidae.
UCCAGUGUCUGUGAUUUUGUUCU